CUACGGGAGGCUGCAGUGGGGAAUAUUGGACAAUGGGGGCAACCCUGAUCCAGCCAUGCCGCGUGUGUGAAGAAGGCCUUUUGGUUGUAAAGCACUUUAAGCAGUGAAGAAGACCUAACGGUUAAUACCCGUUAGCGAUGACAUUAGCUGCAGAAUAAGCACCGGCUAACUCUGUGCCAGCAGCCGGGUAAUACAGAGGGUGCAAGCGUUAAUCGGAAUUACUGGGCGUAAAGCGAGCGUAGGUGGCUUGAUAAGUCAGAUGUGAAAUCCCCGGGCUUAACCUGGGAACUGCAUCUGAUACUGUUAAGCUAGAGUAGGUGAGAGGGAAGUAGAAUUCCAGGUGUAGCGGUGAAAUGCGUAGAGAUCUGGAGGAAUACCGAUGGCGAAGGCAGCUUCCUGGCAUCAUACUGACACUGAGGCUCGAAAGCGUGGGUAGCAAACAGGAUUAGAUACCCCAGUAGUC
RNAcentral lists this ribosomal RNA (463 nucleotides) under uncultured bacterium. RNAcentral describes it as "partial 16S ribosomal RNA". It matches the Rfam family "Bacterial small subunit ribosomal RNA", at positions 339 to 795 of the family's 1533-position model. The record is from RNAcentral.